GAAAUGCGAUAAGUAGCGUGAAUUGCAGACGCUUUGAACGCCAAAAUUUCGAACGCACAUUGCGCCAUAGGAGUUCUACCCUAUGGCACAUCUGGUUGAGGGUCGUGAUCAAAUACAGCUAGGAUUGGGCUGUCAUAGAGGUAACUGAUGGAUCAUCAUGAAACAAAGGCGAAACGACUGCCCACUUCUUCGGAGGAGGGUAGGUGAAUUCCCUUGCCCCACGGAUGGGCAUAACGGCUGAGGACUAGUUCCGGCCCGUAGUGUACCAUACAUACGCCUAGUGCGUAAGUGCAUUAUGGGUGUCUGUGAAUCGGCUGAUAUGACCUAUACGUGCCGGGUUUUGUCGGUAGACGAUCGACUUCCCGACCUCAACUCAGGUGUGAUUACCCGCUGAACUUAA
This 400-nucleotide unclassified non-coding RNA is filed under the name uncultured fungus. RNAcentral's name for it is "sequence contains ITS1". The stretch from base 1 to 105 matches the Rfam family "5.8S ribosomal RNA", at positions 50 to 154 of the family's 154-position model. Lineage: Eukaryota; Fungi. The record is from RNAcentral.